Molecule: ribosomal RNA, 503 nt
Filed under: uncultured bacterium
Lineage: Bacteria
Description: partial 16S ribosomal RNA
Rfam family: Bacterial small subunit ribosomal RNA
Source: RNAcentral
AUUGAACGCUGGCGGCAGGCUUAACACAUGCAAGUCGAGCGGGGUGAUGGUGCUUGCACUAUCACUUAGCGGCGGACGGGUGAGUAAUGCUUAGGAAUCUGCCUAUUAGUGGGGGACAACAUCUCGAAAGGGAUGCUAAUACCGCAUACGUCCUACGGGAGAAAGCAGGGGAUCACUUGUGACCUUGCGCUAAUAGAUGGGCCUAGGUCGGAUUAGCUAGUUGGUGGGGUAAAGGCCUACCAAGGCGACGAUCUGUAGCGGGUGUGAGAGGAUGAUCCGCCACACUGGGACUGAGACACGGCCCAGACUCCUACGGGAGGCAGCAGUGGGGAAUAUUGGACAAUGGGGGGAACCCUGAUCCAGCCAUGCCGCGUGUGUGAAGAAGGCCUUAUGGUUGUAAAGCACUUUAAGCGAGGAGGAGGCUCUUUUGGUUAAUACCCAAGAUGAGUGGACGUUACUCGCAGAAUAAGCACCGGCUAACUCUGUGCCAGCCGCCGCAGUAA